RNAcentral lists this ribosomal RNA (982 nucleotides) under human gut metagenome. Its description in RNAcentral is "bacterial LSU rRNA". It matches the Rfam family "Bacterial large subunit ribosomal RNA", at positions 1945 to 2925 of the family's 2925-position model. The record is from RNAcentral.
ACGGUCCUAAGGUAGCGAAAUUCCUUGUCAGGUAAGUUCUGACCCGCACGAAAGGCGUAAUGAUUUGGGCACUGUCUCGACAAUGUACCCGGCGAAAUUGUAGUACUAGUGAAGAUGCUAGUUACCUGCGACAAGACAGAAAGACCCCAUGGAGCUUUACUGCAGCUUGAUACUGGGUUUCGGUAAUUUAUGUACAGGAUAGGUGGGAGACUAUGAAGUUAGGGCGUCAGCCUUAAUGGAGUCACCGUUGGGAUACCACCCUUAAGUUACUGGAAUUCUAACUUGUGAUCAUGAACUGGUCAGAGGACAAUGUCAGGCGGGCAGUUUGACUGGGGCGGUCGCCUCCUAAAGAGUAACGGAGGCGCCCAAAGGUUUCCUCAGCGCGGACAGAAAUCGCGCGAAAGAGUGUAAAGGCAGAAGGAAGCUUAACUGAGAGACAGACAUGUCGACCAGAUACGAAAGUAGGGCUUAGUGAUCCGGCGGUAGUGAAUGGAAAUGCCGUCGCUCAACGGACAAAAGUUACCCUGGGGAUAACAGGCUUAUCUCCCCCAAGAGUUCACAUCGACGGGGAGGUUUGGCACCUCGAUGUCGGCUCAUCGCAUCCUGGAGCGGAAGUACGUUCCAAGGGUUGGGCUGUUCGCCCAUUAAAGCGGUACGCGAGCUGGGUUCAGAACGUCGUGAGACAGUUCGGUCCUUAUCUGUCGCAGGCGGAAGAUAUUUGAAGGGAGCUGUCCUUAGUACGAGAGGACCAGGAUGGACAUACCGAUGGUUUAUCAGUUGUCACACCAGUGGCAUGGCUGAGUAGCCAAGUAUGGAAGGGAUAAACGCUGAAAGCAUCUAAGUGUGAAGCCCACCCUAAGAUAAGAUAUCCCAUACCGUAAGGUAGUAAGAUUCCACGUAGACUAUGUGGUUGAUAGGUUGGAGGUGUAAGUGCAGUAAUGUAUUGAGCUGACCAAUACUAAUAAAUCGAGGGCUUAACCAC